GAUCUUGCUGAGUUCCCAGGACCU
RNAcentral lists this non-coding RNA (24 nucleotides) under Arabidopsis thaliana (thale cress). The record is from RNAcentral. Lineage: Eukaryota; Viridiplantae; Streptophyta; Magnoliopsida; Brassicales; Brassicaceae.